This 159-nucleotide small nuclear RNA is filed under the name Trichobilharzia regenti. RNAcentral's name for it is "U1 spliceosomal RNA". It matches the Rfam family "U1 spliceosomal RNA". From Rfam's summary of the family: U1 is a small nuclear RNA (snRNA) component of the spliceosome (involved in pre-mRNA splicing). Its 5' end forms complementary base pairs with the 5' splice junction, thus defining the 5' donor site of an intron. The record is from Rfam by way of RNAcentral. Lineage: Eukaryota; Metazoa; Platyhelminthes; Trematoda; Strigeidida; Schistosomatidae.
CAACUUACCUGGCGUCGAGGUCAGGGUGAUCAAGAAUGCUCUGACUCCGGGUGAAGGCUCACCAUUGCACCUCGGUGAGUUGAAACUCGUGACGGACCCUAAUCGAGUACGCUCGGGCCUGUAGUUUUUGUCAGUGGGGAGGCCUCAGUUUCCUCCCUU